UACGUAGGGUGCAAGCGUUAAUCGGAAUUACUGGGCGUAAAGCGUGCGCAGGCGGCUUUGCAAGACAGAUGUGAAAUCCCCGGGCUUAACCUGGGAACUGCAUUUGUGACUGCAUGGCUGGAGUGCGGCAGAGGGGGGACUGGAAUUCCCGGUGUAGCAGUGAAAUGCGUAGAUAUCGGGAGGAACACCAGUGGCGAAGGCGAGUCUCUGGGAUGAUGCUGACGCUGAUGCGCGAAAGCCAGGGGAGCAAACGGG
RNAcentral lists this ribosomal RNA (255 nucleotides) under uncultured bacterium. RNAcentral describes it as "partial 16S ribosomal RNA". It matches the Rfam family "Bacterial small subunit ribosomal RNA", at positions 524 to 776 of the family's 1533-position model. The record is from RNAcentral.